Long non-coding RNA from Dermacentor albipictus, 953 nucleotides. RefSeq lists it as uncharacterized. The record is from RefSeq and is a predicted model, not a curated record. NCBI's taxonomy places the organism in Eukaryota, Metazoa, Arthropoda, Arachnida, Ixodida, Ixodidae.
UUCUGCCGACAUCAAUAAAUUCCAGACCGAUUCAUUUUCAAGAAGGUGGAGUAAGUUGAGUGAAGGCCGGGAAGAGGGGGGUGAGCACACACAGUGUGUGUUGUAUGUGCUGCUGCCGCCCGUCAUCAUCGUCCGUAUGCCACUUUUUUGUCCGCCCACCAUAGAGAGCUUGGCUGGACGCCUCGGGCUCGACGUUCUUUUCACCCUGUCGGGCACGCACCGUGCUGGCGCACGCGUGUGUGUCUCCCCGCGGGGAGAACGUCUCGGAGGCGCCGAGCGGCUUUGACCGUGUGCUCGUGUGGUUCGCGCAGGACCAGCUCAGUACCACGCAUAUCGGUAACUCCGCGUUGGUGUAGCGCCGAUGCCUCUUGAACUUCGUACCCACUUGUUUGUGCGCGAAAAUGUAGCUUUUUGUUACCGAACGAAGGAUCGUAAAUGCAACACCCGAGGUGCUCCGGCCAGCGCCCGAAGCAACCGUGCAUCACUUGGAGCUAAAAGGCCACACACACCGCAGAGUCCGCACUGCGUCCUGCCACCUGCCAACGUGCCUAACUGUGCGUCAGUGCAACCCCUAUAUAUUCAGAAAGUGCGAUGCCGCUGUAAAAUGCGUGCGUGCUCUCCGAUACUCCGUCGUCUGCAACGCAUGCUCGGAUAACGACUCACGCGCGACCUUCCAAACAGAAAGGAAACCCUGCGUGAUCUGCACCAAGAAUUCUCCCCUCAAUUAGCAGCGGACGACGACUGCCUACACGCCAGCAUGUGCCACGGGCUUCAAGCACAAGAAAGGGGCGCCGGAACCGUAGAACCACCAGUCUCGGUACUCCUGCACAUUGGCAGCUUUCUAGUCAAAGGAAGGUGGAAAAGAAGAGGAGGAAAAGACACAGAAGCUUUGCUCAGAUCUCGAAUAAAACCUGCUUCUUUGCACCGCGGGGAAGACGUGCCCACGUCCAAAA